GCCGGAAAGUGGCGUGCUCCUGUAGUCCCAUCUACUCAGGAGGCUGAGGUGGGAGGAUUGCUUGAGCCCAGGAGCUUUGGGCUGUAGUGUGCUAUGCCAAUUGGGUGUCCGCACUACGUUUGGCAUCGAUAUGAUGACCUCCUGGGAGCAGGGGACCACCAGGUUGCCUAAGGAGGGGUGAAUAGGCCCAGGUCAGAAAUAGAGCAGGUCAAAACUCCCGUGCUGAUCAGUAGUGGGAUCACACCUGUGAAUAGCCACUGCACUCCAGCAUGAGCAACGAGACCCUGUAUCU
This 292-nucleotide signal recognition particle RNA is filed under the name Microcebus murinus (gray mouse lemur). RNAcentral describes it as "Metazoan signal recognition particle RNA (ENSMICG00000033273.2)". It matches the Rfam family "Metazoan signal recognition particle RNA". Rfam says of the family: The signal recognition particle (SRP) is a universally conserved ribonucleoprotein. It is involved in the co-translational targeting of proteins to membranes. The record is from RNAcentral. Lineage: Eukaryota; Metazoa; Chordata; Mammalia; Primates; Cheirogaleidae.